AGUGAACGCUGGCGGUAGGCCUAACACAUGCAAGUCGAACGGCAGCACAGUAAGAGCUUGCUCUUACGGGUGGCGAGUGGCGGACGGGUGAGGAAUACAUCGGAAUCUACUUUUUCGGGGGGGAUAACGUAGGGAAACUUACGCUAAUACCGCAUACGACCUACGGGUGAAAGCAGGGGAUCUUCGGACCUUGCGCGAUUGAAUGAGCCGAUGUCGGAUUAGCUAGUUGGCGGGGUAAAGGCCCACCAAGGCGACGAUCCGUAGCUGGUCUGAGAGGAUGAUCAGCCACACUGGAACUGAGACACGGCCCAGACUCCUACGGGAGGCAGCAGUGGGGAAUAUUGGACAAUGGGCGCAAGCCUGAUCCAGCCAUACCGCGUGGGUGAAGAAGGCCUUCGGGUUGUAAAGCCCUUUUGUUGGGAAAGAAAAGCAGCAGGUUAAUACCCCGCUGUUCUGACGGUACCCAAAGAAUAAGCACCGGCUAACUUCGUG
RNAcentral lists this ribosomal RNA (492 nucleotides) under uncultured bacterium. RNAcentral's name for it is "partial 16S ribosomal RNA". It matches the Rfam family "Bacterial small subunit ribosomal RNA", at positions 29 to 507 of the family's 1533-position model. The record is from RNAcentral.